Molecule: long non-coding RNA, 1249 nt
Filed under: Anser brachyrhynchus (Pink-footed goose)
Lineage: Eukaryota; Metazoa; Chordata; Aves; Anseriformes; Anatidae
Description: lncRNA (ENSABRG00000002130.1)
Source: RNAcentral
AUGCAAAACAACACUGCAAAGUCUUUCGAUGGAUUUAGAUGCAAUGUUUCUCUCUUCAGGACUGGUCCUUCAAGAUAUCAGGAUGCCCCCAGGUACCCCCCAAACCUACCGAUAGAGCAAAAUAGUGGAGAUGAGAGAUGUAAGAACAGCACAAAGGAUCAGAUCAUUCUGCCUGAACAGAGACAAAUACCAAAAGGCAAAGGGAUAUUCUAUUUCUUUUUUGUCUCCCCUCAAAAGAGGACAGGUUAGCAGACUAAAAAUUGUAGACAUUUCUGGAUUUAUUUCUAAGAUGCAAAGUUAGAUCUGAUUUUUAUACAAGCAUCAACACGUCCCUUCUGAGUUUCAGAAGGUUUCAACACUCUUUAAAAAAGGUAACCAAAGCCAAGGAGUGACCCAGACCUAUACCUGACAUGGUGAGAGCUGAAAGCAGUGAAGUAUGGCUCCCGCAGAGAGAACCAGUAAGUUACGCUUCUGAAGGUAGAGAUGGAUUCUUCCUCCUUUAAAGAAUUUAUAGCCCUUUCUUUUUUCAAGUUUUCCAGGCAGCUGUGACUCUACAGCAUUGCAGACCUCUAUACAUUACACCAAAUUACACCAGCUAAAGUGAAAGAGAAACAAUGGAGAAAUUUGUCUGGCACAGUAGAAGAUGGCAACACUGUGGAUACAAUAUCCUGCAAUGCCGUGGAGAGGCUGCUAACUGUUCUUUGGAUUUAUUUUUUUUUCUUGAGGAUUACAGCUAAGUUUACUGCCCAUUUUCCCAACAACUCACAUUUACCGAAUACUGUAAAUCCCAAGAGUAAUUUCCCAGAUAAAUAAGUGUUAAUUACAAAAACCAAACAAACGCGGUUCAGUCCCGUUACCACUCCCUCCAUCGUCACACCGUCCUGUGCCUAUUGACCUUGCAGGGCAGGGUGCUCACCGAGCAGCUGGCUGCAGCGGCCGGGGUGCCAGCCCUGGCCUGAAGGAUGCACAGCAGGCACGUCCCAGCAGGAAGGAAAGGGUUACGGCAUUAUGGAUGUGGGUUGCUGGGCUUUCCUCCAGACUCCUGCAUUACCUUGGGCAAGUUGUUUAGCCCGUGUCCCGGGGGCCCAAGCUAAAAGCAAAGAGUUGGUAAUCCUUCUCAGCAACUGUGUUUCUCCUGGCUUUUAAAAGAGUCCCUCAGGCCGGGGAUUUUUCUUACCAGUGCAUGUUCCAGCCGUGAUCCCAACAGGGAGCACAAGGACUGUGUGGCUGUCUCCCCGGCAGCAGAUAG